Molecule: ribosomal RNA, 401 nt
Filed under: uncultured bacterium
Lineage: Bacteria
Description: bacterial SSU rRNA
Rfam family: Bacterial small subunit ribosomal RNA
Source: RNAcentral
GACGAACGCUGGCGGCGUGCUUAACACAUGCAAGUCGAGCGGUAAGGCCCUUUCGGGGGUACGACGAGCGGCGAACGGGUGAGUAACACGUGGGUGGACCUGCCCUCCAGCUCUGGGAUAAGCCUGGGAAACCGGGUCUAAUACCGGAUAUGACUCCAUGACGCAUGUUGUGGGGUGGAAAGCCUUGUGCGGCUGAGGAUGGGCCCGCGGCCUAUCAGCUUGUUGGUGGGGUGAUGGCCUACCAAGGCGACGACGGGUAGCCGGCCUGAGAGGGCGACCGGCCACACUGGGACUGAGACACGGCCCAGACUCCUACGGGAGGGCAGCAGUGGGGAAUCUUGCGCAAUGGGCGAAAGCCUGACGCAGCGACGCCCGCGUGAGGGAUGACGGCCUGUGUAACU